RNAcentral lists this ribosomal RNA (1172 nucleotides) under Mikrocodides chlaena. RNAcentral's name for it is "SSU rRNA". It matches the Rfam family "Eukaryotic small subunit ribosomal RNA", at positions 603 to 1803 of the family's 1831-position model. Lineage: Eukaryota; Metazoa; Rotifera; Eurotatoria; Ploima; Epiphanidae. The record is from RNAcentral.
AUUAAAGUUGUUGCAGUUAAAAAGCUCGUAGUUGGAUCUCGGGUACUGGCAUGUGGUACGCUUUACUGCUGUUACUACAUGUCCGGUCCUAAUCAAUCGGUUGGCCGUUGAUGCCCUUUAUUGGGUGUUUUCGGUAGCCGGUACGUUUACUUUGAGAAAAUUAGAGUGCUUAAAGCAGGCCAUACGCCUGAAUAAUGUUGCAUGGAAUAAUAGAAUAGGACCUCGGUUCUAUUUUGUUGGUUUUGUAGAGCAUUGAGGUAAUGAUUAAUAGGGACAGACGGGGGCAUUCGUAUUGCGGUGUUAGAGGUGAAAUUCUUGGAUCGCCGCAAGACGAACAACUGCGAAAGCAUUUGCCAAGAAUGUUUUCAUUAAUCAAGAACGAAAGUUGGAGGUUCGAAGACGAUUAGAUACCGUCCUAGUUCCAACCAUAAACGAUGCCAACUAGCGAUUAGCUGAUGUUAAUUAAACGACACAGCUAGCAGCUUCCGGGAAACCAAAGUUUUUGGGUUCCGGGGGAAGUAUGGUUGCAAAGCUGAAACUUAAAGGAAUUGACGGAAGGGCACCACCAGGAGUGGAGCCUGCGGCUUAAUUUGACUCAACACGGGAAAUCUCACCCGGCCCGGACACUGUAAGGAUUGACAGAUUGAGAGCUCUUUCUUGAUUCGGUGGGUGGUGGUGCAUGGCCGUUCUUAGUUGGUGGAGCGAUUUGUCUGGUUAAUUCCGAUAACGAACGAGACUCUAGCCUGCUAAAUAGUACGCCGAUCUUUAGUCGGCGCGUACUUCUUAGAGGGACAAGUAGCGGUUAGCUACACGAAAUUGAGCAAUAACAGGUCUGUGAUGCCCUUAGAUGUUCGGGGCCGCACGCGCGCUACACUGAAGGGAUAAGCGUGUUUUUCCUGCUCCGAAAGGAGUGGGUAACCCGCUGAAACCCCUUCGUGAUUGGGAUCGGGGCUUGCAAUUAUUCUCCGUGAACGAGGAAUUCCCAGUAAGCGCGAGUCAUAAGCUCGCGUUGAUUACGUCCCUGCCCUUUGUACACACCGCCCGUCGCUACUACCGAUUGAAUGGUUUAGUGAGAUCUUCGGAUUGAUCCGGAGGUCCGCAAGGUCCUCUAGGUUUCGAGAAGAUGAUCAAACUUGAUCAUUUAGAGGAAGUAAAAGUCGUAACAAGGUUUC